CCUACGGGAGGCAGCAGUGAGGAAUAUUGGUCAAUGGCCGAGAGGCUGAACCAGCCAAGUCGCGUGAGGGAAGACGGCCCUACGGGUUGUAAACCUCUUUUGUAGGGGAGCAAAGCGAGUCACGUGUGAAUCAUUGACAGUACCCGAAGAAAAAGCAUCGGCUAACUCCGGGCCAGCAGCCGCGGUAAUACGGAGGAUGCGAACGUUAUCCGGAUUUAUGUGGUUUAAAGGGAGCGCAGGGGGAGGUGCAAGUCAGCGGUCAAAUUGCGGGGCUCAACCCCGUACUGCCGUUGAAACUGCAUCCCUUGAGUGCGCGAGAAGUAUGCGGAAUGCGUGGUGUAGCGGUGAAAUGCAUAGAUAUCACGCAGAACUCCGAUUGCGAAGGCAGCAUACCGGCGCGCAACUGACGCUCAUGCACGAAAGCGUGGGUAUCGAACAGGAUUAGAUACCCUUGUAGUC
This 459-nucleotide ribosomal RNA is filed under the name uncultured bacterium. Its description in RNAcentral is "partial 16S ribosomal RNA". It matches the Rfam family "Bacterial small subunit ribosomal RNA", at positions 338 to 795 of the family's 1533-position model. The record is from RNAcentral.